GUUUGAUCCUGGCUCAGAGCGAACGUUAGCGGCAGGCUUAACACAUGCAAGUCGAGCGACAAAGGGGCUUCGGCCCUGAGUAGAGCGGCGGACGGGUGCGUAACACGUGGAUAAUCUGCCUCGUGGCGGGGGAUAACAGUCCGAAAGGACUGCUAAUACCGCAUGUCAGGUCGGAAACCCCGGUUUCUGACGAAAAAGAGGGCGCCCGCAAGGGGCUCUCACCACGAGAUGAGUCCGCGGCCCAUCAGCUAGUUGGCGGUGUAAUAGACCACCAAGGCUAAGACGGGUAGCUGGUCUGAGAGGAUGACCAGCCACACUGGGACUGAGACACGGCCCAGACUCCUACGGGAGGCAGCAGUGGGGAAUAUUGGACAAUGGGCGAAAGCCUGAUCCAGCCAUGCCGCGUGAGUGAUGAAGGUCUUCGGAUCGUAAAGCUCUGUGGGAAGGGACGAAAAA
RNAcentral lists this ribosomal RNA (456 nucleotides) under uncultured bacterium. RNAcentral describes it as "bacterial SSU rRNA". It matches the Rfam family "Bacterial small subunit ribosomal RNA", at positions 11 to 452 of the family's 1533-position model. The record is from RNAcentral.